CUGAAUUGAGCCCAAAUACAGGAGCGAAUUUGCUCCCACGCACGGAGGCCUCCCGCAAUAUAGACCUCCACCUCUCCGUUUUUGGUUGAAUUGACCAGCUCCUGCAAAAGAAAAUGAUUGGAGCGAGACCCGCCUUCUUUCCCCUGCGUGAGACCUAAGGGCUGGAGGAGCCACCCCCAGGCAGCACACCGACGGCGGCGGCGGCGGCGCAGCGCCCAGGUAAGCUCCUCUUGCCGGCCCUCCUCCUCCUCCUACGGUAACGGCAUACCCACCGCCACAGCUUGUUCCCCUUCCUCCUAUGGCGUCCCAUCUCCUCUGCCGCUCGAUGUCCUCCUCCCAUGGCCGCCAUGGCUGGGAUCUAGCCAUCCACCGCCGCUCCUCCCCCCAUACCUCUGCUUCGGCGUCCCUCCAUGCCACAGGACCCGCCCCUCCUCUGCCGCCGUUCUCCCAUCUCUUCGGCUCCUUCCACAUGUGCUCUGCUGUCAGAUCCCCUCUACUGUCCUCUCCUUCUUCCCAAGCUUUCUUGCUUUAAUGUUCCCCUGAUAUGGAAUUGGUCCAGCCUUCCAUGUUCUCUUGAUUGACUAUCAUCCUUGCAAUGAAC
Molecule: ribosomal RNA, 601 nt
Filed under: Triticum aestivum (bread wheat)
Lineage: Eukaryota; Viridiplantae; Streptophyta; Magnoliopsida; Poales; Poaceae
Description: partial small subunit ribosomal RNA
Source: RNAcentral